RNAcentral lists this transfer RNA (75 nucleotides) under Mustela putorius furo (domestic ferret). It matches the Rfam family "tRNA". From Rfam's summary of the family: Transfer RNA (tRNA) molecules are approximately 80 nucleotides in length. RNAcentral also lists the same sequence under 1 other name. The record is from Rfam by way of RNAcentral. Lineage: Eukaryota; Metazoa; Chordata; Mammalia; Carnivora; Mustelidae.
GCCUGGCUGGCUCAGUGGGAAGAGCAUGUGACUCUCAAUCUCUGGGGACUGUGAGUUCGAGCCCCAUGUUGGGUA